This is a non-coding RNA of Pelobates cultripes (western spadefoot toad), 307 nucleotides long. The record is from the annotation of a GenBank genome assembly. NCBI's taxonomy places the organism in Eukaryota, Metazoa, Chordata, Amphibia, Anura, Pelobatidae.
CAAAUUUACUGUUAUCAGAACCCAAAACCUGAUUUUCUGAAUGGCACAAUAAAAAUUCCUAUGUGGGGAUGGUAUUAAGGUAUGGAUUAAGGUUGCCAAUUUAAUUUGCUGCUGUUUUCCAUUUAUCUUUUGAUCUGGUGCCUUCGUCUAGCAAAAUGUGCUUUUAUUAAAUGAUUCUGGCAAUUGGCUGCAAAAUGACCACAUUUCCUUCUUAGAACUAAUUUCAGUAGCAGAUUCCUUGAUCAAGGUUCUCACUUUAUUCUCUCAUUCAGUGGAGGAGGGAGCAAAGUCUCCAGGCAUCUGUUAG